This 498-nucleotide ribosomal RNA is filed under the name uncultured bacterium. RNAcentral's name for it is "partial 16S ribosomal RNA". It matches the Rfam family "Bacterial small subunit ribosomal RNA", at positions 30 to 523 of the family's 1533-position model. The record is from RNAcentral.
AUUGAACGCUGGCGGCAUGCCUUACACAUGCAAGUCGAACGGUAACAGGUCUUCGGAUGCUGACGAGUGGCGAACGGGUGAGUAAUACAUCGGAACGUGCCUAGUAGUGGGGGAUAACUACUCGAAAGAGUGGCUAAUACCGCAUGAGAUCUACGGAUGAAAGCAGGGGAUCGCAAGACCUUGUGCUACUAGAGCGGCCGAUGGCAGAUUAGGUAGUUGGUGGGAUAAAAGCUUACCAAGCCGACGAUCUGUAGCUGGUCUGAGAGGACGAUCGGCCACCCGGGGACUGAGACACGGCCCAGACUCCUACGGGAGGCAGCAGUGGGGAAUUUUGGACAAUGGGCGAAAGCCUGAUCCAGCAAUGCCGCGUGCAGGAUGAAGGCCUUCGGGUUGUAAACUGCUUUUGUACGGAACGAAAAGCCCCGGGUUAAUACCCUGGGGUCAUGACGGUACCGUAAGAAUAAGCACCGGCUAACUACGUGCCAGCCGCCGCGGUAA